UCUUUCUUUCUUUCUCUCUCUCUUUCUGUCUCUCUGUCUCUCUCUCUCUCUUUCGCUCUCUCUUUGUCUCUCUGGCUCUCUCUCUCUUUCCCCUCCUCCUUUCUAGGCAGUCCACCCAUCCCUCUGUCCAUCCCUCCCUCCGUCCAUCCAUCUGUCUGUGGUGUCAGAACAGAUAUUAGCUCAAGACAAGGAUUUAUUUCCCGUGAGUGUAGUUUUGAUCUGCCAGUGCGUUGAAUCCUGGAGGAGACAUGAGAACCACGAUAUACAGGACCAACCAGAGUCCCAAGUCCCAACCCAUCUCCUGGAUCAGCUUGGAGAGGAUAAGGCUGGAAGGAAAGCAUGCACUGGACUGGACCGGACCGUGGGCUGGGUGCCACAGACGCUUGACUACAACGGAAGACGACGAGUGGCUGCCAAACAUACAAUUCAACCAACAGAUGAGCAACAGACUUGAACAAUCCUCCAGCAGCACAGACAUUAUCUCUGGGACUGUUGCUGAGUUCAUAACAAAGUGGGAAGGUGAUAUUUACCACCUACGACUGGGAAAAAUCCACUUCAACUGCCACUAUAAACAGGUGAUUUUUAAACUGAUCAUUUAAAAUAAAUUAACAGGGCAACUACCCAUCUGUGCAUGCACGUGCUGGUAGUCCUCUGUCACUGACCUGCCAGGGGUCAAUAAUGUCUACAAAUGGGACGUGGAGGUCAUUACUUGGAAAUAACUUUUUUUUUUCCCAUGCACAUUGCUAUUGAGGGCUUCCAGCAUUUUAAAGUAUUCAACUGGGUGAGGAUUCCUAUGGGUUGAGAGCAAUAAGCAAAUCUGAGUAUUACCUUAAUUGGUUUGUAAAUGGCUUUAUGAUGUUACCGCCAUCUACAAAAUAAAUGAAGCCACUGAGUUCUUCAGUAAGGUCAAUGUUUGUCUAUGGCGGUUGCAUGACUGUGUGCUCGAUUUUUAUACACCUGUCAGCGACGGGUGUGACUGAAAUAGCUGACUCCACUAAUUUGAAGCAUUGCCCACAUACCUUUGUAUAUGUAGUCUAUCUACUGUCCACAAUACAUGAGCAACAAAAUAUUUAGUUCGUCAGUCACCAAUAUUAGCUUUACACUUUUCAAACAUCAAAAGAAGAAAAUGGACUACUUUAAAAUGGAGAUACAACAUUAUCUCUAUGGCAAGGGAGAGUAGACAGGACAUACUGGGAUACAAAACCUUACUGCUGUUGAUGUGUUAGUGGGGCUCACUGUUGCUUGACUCAAGGUGAUUGUACACUAACAGGUCCACCAUGUCGUUGGCUGCUUCUCUAUAUUGUGGAUAGUAAGUCAACUAUGAGACACAUGCCAGAGGGCCGUCUGUUUGAUACCUCCCAUAUUAAAGCUUUCAUGGUGCUGUUGAAAAAGAAAAACGCCUGUUUCCUUCCUCUUCUGUAGAAUGAAACAUAUGAGAACUCUCCAUGCCUUACUCUGUAAUUACUUCCAACAUUCAGUGGAGAAUCACUGGCUUUCAGCCCACUACAGAGACUACACACUUUGAAUCAGCCUAUAUCAACCCCGAUUGAACCAUGUACUUUAAUUCCCAUCCGUUUUUCAAUACAGAGGUUACACGCCCACACACACAGUUCACUCGAGUACAGGCUUCACUGAGUAAACAACAAAGAUGGAACGCAAUCUAAGAUGUGACGGCAAGUAGCCCUUUUUAUCCAAAUAAUAUACGUUAUCAGAGAGAAAUGGCACAACGAAGCAACAAUUGGAUGAUAAGUUUAAAAACAAUGAAUUUGAUGUAAAAGAGAUGGAACAAAACAAAAGUGAGAUUAUGCUGUAAUGGAAAGUGUUAUAUGAAAUAUGUCAAAGCAAGGUGAGCCGAUAAAAUACCACGUACGCUUUAAUGUGAUUUGUACGAUUAAAAAGUCAUGACUAGUUGAGAUAAUGGAGGCCGAUGAAGACAGUAUUCUGAUUGGCUUCUCUCUACUAUGAAUCCUGUGUUAGAAUCAGACUACUCUACUACUGACACACACACAGUCAUCUGGACAUCUCACGUUCUACUCAACGACCUGUGUGUGUGUGUGUGUGUGUGUAUGCACUACCAUCCCCAGUUCUUCCUCAGAAUACUCUGAGUCAAGAUAGUGAUAGUUUCCUUUCAUAUCCUCUAUAAAACAUUUACGCUGGCCAGCUGUGUGUGUGUGUGUAUUGAAGUUCGGAGUGAUCAUAUUGGGGUACACAGGGCUGGCCCAUAGCAGACGGUUCCCUGGGAGAGUUAUAAUUGGUUCAGCAUCAGUGGAAAGAAAAAGGGAAAGGGUUGGGGGUUAACUGCUCAAAGGCACAGGAGAGGAAUGUUCAUCAUUCCCAGCUGCUCUCCCCUUCUUCACUACAGUCAGCAUCAGGGAUUUGAGAUAAAGUCCUCUUACCUGGGUGAAAAAAGAUAGAGAAUGGCUUUCUAUGUCUUUGUACAGAGGUCAAUGAUUGUAUUCUUGCAUGGCUGUAAAACUGUAUUGCUCUGUGAUACUGUCUAAUACACACACACACACACACACACACAAUGUAGCGAAUAUUAGGAGGAUAUCUGAAACAUGGCUUGAACCAACGAUCUUGCAGCUACAGGACAAUCACACUACUGGAACUAAAAUGCACCAUUAAAUCCAUUAUUAAAAAUGGAAAGAAUAAUGCACCACAACAAAGCUGCCAAGAAACGGCCGCCCACCAAAACUCACGGACAAGGCAAGGAGGGAAUUAAUCAGAGAGGUAACAAAGAGACCAAAGAUAACCCUGCUGCAAAGCUCCACAGCUGUAAUAUAUCCUGUGUGUAGCUGGUGUAGAGGAGUCAGGCGCAGGACAGCAGAUGUGAGUAAGAAACGUACUUUACUCAAAAUAUCACAAAUACAACGCAAAUAAACGAGCCCACAAUAACGAACCGAAUUACAUACCAACAAUCACUCACAAACAAACAUGGGGGAACAGAGGGUUAAAUAAUGAACACGUAAUUGGGGGAUUGAAACCAGGUGUGUAAAACAAAGACAAACAAAUGGAAAAUAAAUAGUGGAUUGGCGAUGGCUAGAAGGCCGGUGACGUCGACUGCCGAACGCCGCCCAAACAAGGAGAGGGACCAACUUCGGCGGAAUUCGUGACAACAGCAGAGAUUGGAGUAUCUGUCCAUAGGACCAAUUUAAGCCGUACACUCCACAGAGCUAGGCUUCAUGGAAGAGUUGCCAGAAAAAAAGCCAUUGCUUAAGAAAGAAAUAAGCAAACACAUUUGGUGUUCGCCAAAAGGCAUGUGGGAGACUCCCCAAACAUAUGGAAGAAGUUACUCUGGUCAGAUGAGACUAAACUUGAGCUUUUUGGCCAUCAAGGAAAACACUCUUUCUGGCGCAAACCCAAAAACUCUCAUCACCCGAGAGCAUCAUCCCCACAGUGAAGCAUGGUGGUGGCAGCAUCAUGCUGUGGGGAUGUUUUUCAUCGGCAGGGACUGGGAAACUGGUCAGAAUUGAAGGAAUGAUGGAUGGCGCUAAAUGCAGGGAAAUUCUUGAUGGAAACCUGUUUCAGUUUUCCAGAGAUUUGAGACUGGGAUGCAUAUUCACCUUCCAGCAGGACAAUGGCCCCAAGCAUACUGCUGAAACAACACUCAAGUGGUUUAAGGGGAAACAUUUAAAUGUCUUGGAAUGGCCUAUUCAAAGCCCAGACGUCAAUCCAAUUGAAAAUCUGUGCAAUGACUUAAAAUUGCUGUACAUCAGAGAAUCCAUCCAACUUGAAGGAGCUGGAGCAGUUUUGCCUUGAAGUAUGAGUUGAAAUCCCAGUGGCUAGAUGUGUCAAGCUUAUAGAGACAUACCCCAAGAGAAAUGCAGCUGUAAUUGCUGCAAAAGGUAGCUCUACAAAGUAUUGACUUUGGGGGGUGAAUAGUUAUGCACGUUCAAGUUUACAGUUUUUUUGUCUUAUUUCUUGUUUAUUUCACAAUAAAACAUAUUUUCCAUCUUCAAAGUGGUAGGCAUGUUGUGUAAAUCAAAUUAUACCAACCCCCCAAAAAUUCAUUUUAAUUCCAGGUUGUAAGGCAAGAAAAUAGGAAAAAUUCUGAAGGGGGUGAAAACUUUCGCAAGCCACUGUACUUUGAAGAAUCUCAAAUAUAAAAUACAUUUGGAUUUGUUUAACACCUUUUUUUGGUUACUACAUGAUUCUAUAUGUGUUAUUUCGUAGUUUUGAUGUUGUCACUAUUAUUCCACAAUGUAGAAAAUAGUAAAAAUAAAGAAAAACCCUGGAAUGAGUAGAUGUGUCCAAACUUUUGACUGAUACUGUGUGUAUGUGUACAUAUAUAUAUAUAUAUACAUACAUACUGUAUAUAUAUAUAUAUAUAUAAUACAUGUA
This 4341-nucleotide long non-coding RNA is filed under the name Salmo trutta (river trout). Its description in RNAcentral is "lncRNA (ENSSTUG00000010834.1)". Lineage: Eukaryota; Metazoa; Chordata; Actinopteri; Salmoniformes; Salmonidae. The record is from RNAcentral.